AUCUCCGUUGUAUGUCUGGAAAUCUGUGUCUGUCUUUGGCUUCCCAAAAACAUUUGCUGCAUCACAUUCACAUCAACAUCAUUUACUGAGCUAGUUCAUCAUCUUAAUUAUCCAUCACCCACAACCAGUGGCGGAGGUAGGAUAUAUAUUAAGGGUGUUCAAAAAAAAUUGUAUUGCAGCUCACAGGAAUCAAACCUGCAAUCUUCUACAUAUUUUGAACACCCUUGACCAUUGAGUCAAGCAUGUGCCUUGUGUUAAGGGUGUUCAAAACUUAAUAUUAUAGAGAUAAAAAAUAAAUUUUGUCUUGUAUAAGGGUAUUCGGGUGAAUACCUUUGCGCCCCCUGCCUCUGCCCCUGCCCACAACGAAUUUCUGAAUAACCACCGGGCUCAACAUCAUUUACUCAUGAGCUAGUUCAUCAUCUUAAUUAUCCAUCGCCCACAACUAAUUUCUAAAUAACCAGCGGGCUCAACUUUGUCAAUAGUUAUGAAGCAUUUCCAAUAAUUACAAGGAACAUUCGAACUCUGAUUUGUACCUAAUUCUCACUAUCAAAGGUGGUCGAGCAAUCAAAAUCACCUCUAUAUCAUUUCCAAACAGCAAUAGGUGUAUAUCCCAGAUAUAUAGGCGAAAAUUUCGACACCUAUAAUGAUCUCUCAGGAAUUACAAGAGGGAUAAAUUAGGCUUGAAGAGUUGUGUCUCUCAUUUAUAAUUAUAUACUGUUAACAAAGAACAUGAUGUAACAUGUAACAACAAUAUACUUUUAGGAAUAGAGGAGGUAGGGCAUUACGUGCCUCUAGGGAUAGUUUUACCAGCGUGCAUUCUAUUAAAAGUUUAUAUUUAGUGCAUUGACAUCUAUAUUUCUCGAGCUUUCUGAAAACGUCGCCAGGUGUAUGUUAGAUUUUCAAAUGUAGUGCAUUUUUUGAGGUACCGGCACUAGUGCAUUAACAUUUUAGAGAGUGUGUAACAUUGAUUGACAACUUCAAAAUCUUCACACUAUCCAAGUUAAUUUGAUUCGCAACAACAUGUAACUCUCUAUAUCAAAUAUAAUACGUAACACACAAAAUAAAGUGAAGAUCUACUAUGUAUAGCCAAUCAAGUUGCACUGUGUAAAAGAUUCGUACACUAUCACUGUAUUAUAACUUAAACUGAUAUGGCAACCUGAAAAUUAUAGUAAUAACAUGUUAUACCUUAUUAAAUUGUACUGAUAGUGUAAAAAGUUCUUUAAACUAUCAAUGUAUAUUCAGACGUAGUUUGACUCGGCAUGGGUUGAACUUUUAAAAUUUGUGGGCUUAAAAGCUUAAAAGUUAUAGAAUUUAUGUAAAUACAAAAGUUUACAAAAUGGAAAGUUUAAAGUGAAAUUAUUGAAAGGGAAAGAAUACCAGCUUCUCCAUAAGCAGCAUCAGCAGGGGAAACCUUGG
Molecule: long non-coding RNA, 1416 nt
Filed under: Nicotiana benthamiana
Lineage: Eukaryota; Viridiplantae; Streptophyta; Magnoliopsida; Solanales; Solanaceae
Description: long non-coding RNA (NBEN_LNC031086)
Source: RNAcentral